UAUGUGAUCGUCUCUCGCAUAUCAAUAAGCGGAGGAAAAGAAACUAACAAGGAUUCCCCUAGUAACGGCGAGUGAAGCGGGAAGAGCUCAAAUUUGAAAUCUUAAAGGGUUUCCCUUUACGAAUUGUAGUUUAAAGAAGUGUUUUCUGUUGAGGUUUUGGUAAAAGUUCUUUGGAAUAGGACAUCAUAGAGGGUGAGAAUCCCGUAUUUGACCUUUACUUUCAACUUUGUGAUACACUUUCAAAGAGUCGGAUUGUUUGGGAAUGCAGUCCAAAAUGGGUGGUAAAUUUCAUCUAAAGCUAAAUAUUGGCGAGAGACCGAUAGCGAACAAGUACCGUGAGGGAAAGAUGAAAAGAACUUUGAAAAGAGAGUUAAACAGUACGUGAAAUUGUCAAAAGGGAAGCGUUUGACACCAGUGUUGUUUUUCUGAAAAUCAAUUAAAGAACUGUUUAUGCUAAGUUGUUUAGACUUUAUCAGCUAACUGUUUAGUUUUGAGCUUUUCUUUAAUGCACUUUUCAGUUAACAAGUCAACAUCAAUUUCUUUUGCUGUAAAAAAGCUUGAGGAAGGUGGCUUGAGAUUCGUCUUAAGUGUUUAUAGCCUCUUGCCUAUGCAGUCGGAGAGAUUGAGGUCUGCAGCGUAGAUCCUUCGGGGCUAAAUGCAUUUGUGCUAAGUUAUAGCAUUUUAUAGACAACUUGUUGACUAUGAUUUGUCUUGUAGCUUACUCGCUUAUGUUAUUUUACCUACGCUUAGGAUGUUGAAGAUGUAGCACAUCAU
This 774-nucleotide ribosomal RNA is filed under the name uncultured Neocallimastigales. RNAcentral describes it as "partial large subunit ribosomal RNA". It matches the Rfam family "Eukaryotic large subunit ribosomal RNA", at positions 24 to 635 of the family's 3401-position model. The record is from RNAcentral. Lineage: Eukaryota; Fungi; Neocallimastigomycota; Neocallimastigomycetes; Neocallimastigales.